RNAcentral lists this transfer RNA (61 nucleotides) under Malcus setosus. RNAcentral's name for it is "tRNA-Asp". The record is from RNAcentral. Lineage: Eukaryota; Metazoa; Arthropoda; Insecta; Hemiptera; Malcidae.
GAAAUUUUAGUUUAAACAAAACAUUAAUUUGUCAAAUUAAAAAUAUCCAAGAUAAAUUUCU